Molecule: long non-coding RNA, 350 nt
Filed under: Capsella rubella
Lineage: Eukaryota; Viridiplantae; Streptophyta; Magnoliopsida; Brassicales; Brassicaceae
Description: long non-coding RNA (CRUB_LNC001893)
Source: RNAcentral
CGGAAUCUCUGGAACCUUUGGUAGCUCAGGCUUUGGGAUCUCUGGAACCUUUGGUAGCUCAGGCUUUGGAAUCUCUGGGAGCUUUGGCAACUCUGGCUUCUGAAUCUCUGGCACCUUAGGAGCCUCAGGCUUUUGAAUCUCUGGCAUCUUGGGUAACUCAGGCUUUGGAACCUCUGGUACCUUAGGCAACUCCGGUUUCUUAAUCUCCGGCAUCUUUGGCAGCUCCGGUUUCUGAAUCUCUGGCAUCUUAGGAAACUCAGGCUUUGGAAUCUCUGGUAUCUUUGGUAACUCGGGCUUUGAAAUCUCCGGCAACUUAGGAGCCUCAAGCUUCGGAACUUCCGGAAUCUUUG